Molecule: ribosomal RNA, 429 nt
Filed under: uncultured bacterium
Lineage: Bacteria
Description: bacterial SSU rRNA
Rfam family: Bacterial small subunit ribosomal RNA
Source: RNAcentral
UCGAGAAUCUUUCGCAAUGGGCGCAAGCCUGACGAAGCGACGCCGUGUGAGCGAAGAAGGCCUUCGGGUUGUAAAGCUCUUUCGCUAGGGAACAAGAAAGACUGAUUAAUAAUCGGUUGAUUUGAUGGUACUUGGUAAAGAAGCACCGGCUAACUCCGUGCCAGCAGCUGCGGUAAUACGGAGGGUGCAAGCAUUGAUCGGAAUUACUGGGCGUAAAGGGCGCGUAGGCGGUCCGAGAAGUCAGAUGUGAAAUUCCGGGGCUCAACCCCGGAGCUGCAUUUGAAACUUUCGGACUUGAGGUUGACAAGGGAAAACGGAAUUCCACGUGUAGCGGUGAAAUGCGUAGAUAUGUGGAAGAACACCGGUGGUGAAGACGGUUUUCUGUGUCAAACCUGACGCUGAGGCGCGAAAGCUAGGGGAGCAAACAGG